Non-coding RNA from Gorilla gorilla gorilla (western lowland gorilla), 163 nucleotides. The record is from Rfam. Lineage: Eukaryota; Metazoa; Chordata; Mammalia; Primates; Hominidae.
AUCGUUUCUCGGCCUUUUGGCCAAGAUCAAGUGUAGAAGUGUGUUGUUUAAUUUCCAAAUAUUUGGACAUAUUUGGGGAAUUAAACUUGACUUAAAAUUGAGUUAAACUUGAAGUCAAUAAUACAUAGUUGGAAAAUCCCCAACUAUGUAUUAUUGACUUCAA